GGCGGCGUAGCCAAGUGGUAAGGCAAGGGUCUGCAAAACCCUCAUGCACCGGUUCAAAUCCGGUCGCCGCCUCCA
This 75-nucleotide transfer RNA is filed under the name Deltaproteobacteria bacterium. RNAcentral describes it as "tRNA-Cys". It matches the Rfam family "tRNA". Rfam says of the family: Transfer RNA (tRNA) molecules are approximately 80 nucleotides in length. Their secondary structure includes four short double-helical elements and three loops (D, anti-codon, and T loops). Further hydrogen bonds mediate the characteristic L-shaped molecular structure. tRNAs have two regions of fundamental functional importance: the anti-codon, which is responsible for specific mRNA codon recognition, and the 3' end, to which the tRNAs corresponding amino acid is attached (by aminoacyl-tRNA synthetases). tRNAs cope with the degeneracy of the genetic code in two manners: having more than one tRNA (with a specific anti-codon) for a particular amino acid; and 'wobble' base-pairing, i.e. permitting non-standard base-pairing at the 3rd anti-codon position. Lineage: Bacteria; Pseudomonadati; Myxococcota; Myxococcia. The record is from RNAcentral.